Molecule: unclassified non-coding RNA, 215 nt
Filed under: Hevea brasiliensis (rubber tree)
Lineage: Eukaryota; Viridiplantae; Streptophyta; Magnoliopsida; Malpighiales; Euphorbiaceae
Source: RNAcentral
GUUCUCUCCUCUCCUCUCUUCUUGUUUGAACAUGGUGCGGACUAAAGCAGACAGUGUUCCAGGCACUUACAGAAAAGUGGUGGCUGCUCGAGCCCCCAGAAAGGUGCUUGGUUCUUCCACCUCUGCCACUAAUUCGACAUCAGUUUCAUCGAGGAAAGCUGAAAAUAAAUAUGCAGGAGGGAACCCCGUUUGCGUGCGCCCAACUCCCAAGUGGC